Molecule: ribosomal RNA, 444 nt
Filed under: uncultured bacterium
Lineage: Bacteria
Description: partial 16S ribosomal RNA
Rfam family: Bacterial small subunit ribosomal RNA
Source: RNAcentral
GUAGGGAAUAUUGGGCAAUGGUCGGAAGACUGACCCAGCCAUGCCGCGUGCAGGAAGACGGCCCUCUGGGUUGUAAACUGCUUUUAUCUGGGAAGAAAAAGGCCAUGCGUGGCAAAUUGCCGGUACCAGAUGAAUAAGCACCGGCUAACUCCGUGCCAGCAGCCGCGGUAAUACGGAGGGUGCAAGCGUUGUCCGGAUUUAUUGGGUUUAAAGGGUGCGUAGGCGGCUGAUUAAGUCAGCGGUGAAAGACUCCGGCUUAACCGGAGCAGUGCCGUUGAUACUGGUUAGCUUGAGUGUUGGAGGGGUACAUGGAAUUGAUGGUGUAGCGGUGAAAUGCAUAGAUACCAUCAGGAACACCGAUAGCGAAGGCAUUGUACUGGCCAACAACUGACGCUGAUGCACGAAAGUGUGGGGAUCGAACAGGAUUAGAUACCCGAGUAGUCC